UCGUGACUUUCUUUUCAGCCCCU
RNAcentral lists this microRNA (23 nucleotides) under Apis mellifera (honey bee). Its description in RNAcentral is "ame-miR-3743-3p". Lineage: Eukaryota; Metazoa; Arthropoda; Insecta; Hymenoptera; Apidae. The record is from miRBase by way of RNAcentral.